This 440-nucleotide ribosomal RNA is filed under the name uncultured Duganella sp. Its description in RNAcentral is "bacterial SSU rRNA". It matches the Rfam family "Bacterial small subunit ribosomal RNA", at positions 358 to 790 of the family's 1533-position model. The record is from RNAcentral. Lineage: Bacteria; Pseudomonadati; Pseudomonadota; Betaproteobacteria; Burkholderiales; Oxalobacteraceae.
GGAAUUUUGGACAAUGGGCGCAAGCCUGAUCCAGCAAUGCCGCGUGAGUGAAGAAGGCCUUCGGGUUGUAAAGCUCUUUUGUCAGGGAAGAAACGGGUCUUUCUAAUACAGAGAUCUAAUGACGGUACCUGAAGAAUAAGCACCGGCUAACUACGUGCCAGCAGCCGCGGUAAUACGUAGGGUGCAAGCGUUAAUCGGAAUUACUGGGCGUAAAGCGUGCGCAGGCGGUUUUGUAAGACUGUCGUGAAAUCCCCGGGCUCAACCUGGGAAUGGCGAUGGUGACUGCAAGGCUAGAGUUUGGCAGAGGGGGGUAGAAUUCCACGUGUAGCAGUGAAAUGCGUAGAUAUGUGGAGGAACACCGAUGGCGAAGGCAGCCCCCUGGGUCAAAACUGACGCUCAUGCACGAAAGCGUGGGGAGCAAACAGGAUUAGAUACCCUUG